CAUCCUCAUCUCCGCAACCUUCAUUCUCUGAACAUGAGAGUUCUUCACUGACCAGCACUCCGUACAACAUGGCAGGUCUAACCACAGCUCUAUUAAAUUUUCCCUUGAGUUUCUAUGGAACUUUCUUGUCACACUGGACUCCUGACGCAAGCCUCCACUUUGACCACCCCGCUCCUAUACGAUGAGUGACGUCCUCGUUAAUCUCUCCGUCCCCCUGAAUCACCGACC
Molecule: long non-coding RNA, 228 nt
Filed under: Nicotiana benthamiana
Lineage: Eukaryota; Viridiplantae; Streptophyta; Magnoliopsida; Solanales; Solanaceae
Description: long non-coding RNA (NBEN_LNC000832)
Source: RNAcentral